GACGCUGGCGGCAGGCUUAACCAUGCAAGUCGAGCGGGGGAAGGAGCUUGCUACCGGACCUAGCGGCGGACGGGUGAGUAAUGCUUAGGAAUCUGCCUAUUAGUGGGGGACAACAUCUCGAAAGGGAUGCUAAUACCGCAUACGUCCUACGGGAGAAAGCAGGGGAUCUUCGGACCUUGCGCUAAUAGAUGAGCCUAAGUCGGAUUAGCUAGUUGGUGGGGUAAAGGCCUACCAAGGCGACGAUCUGUAGCGGGUCUGAGAGGAUGAUCCGCCACACUGGGACUGAGACACGGCCCAGACUCCUACGGGAGGCAGCAGUGGGGAAUAUUGGACAAUGGGGGGAACCCUGAUCCAGCCAUGCCGCGUGUGUGAAGAAGGCCUUAUGGUUGUAAAGCACUUUAAGCGAGGAGGAGGCUACUUUAGUUAAUACCUAGAGAUAGUGGACGUUACUCGCAGAAUAAGCACCGGCUAACUCUGUGCCAGCAGCNGGG
Molecule: ribosomal RNA, 491 nt
Filed under: Acinetobacter johnsonii
Lineage: Bacteria; Pseudomonadati; Pseudomonadota; Gammaproteobacteria; Moraxellales; Moraxellaceae
Description: bacterial SSU rRNA
Rfam family: Bacterial small subunit ribosomal RNA
Source: RNAcentral